Molecule: ribosomal RNA, 499 nt
Filed under: uncultured bacterium
Lineage: Bacteria
Description: partial 16S ribosomal RNA
Rfam family: Bacterial small subunit ribosomal RNA
Source: RNAcentral
GACGAACGCUGGCGGCGUGCCUAAUACAUGCAAGUCGAGCGGACUGAAUGGGAGCUUGCUCUUGUUCGGUCAGCGGCGGACGGGUGAGUAACACGUGGGCAACCUGCCCGCAAGACCGGGAUAACUCCGGGAAACCGGAGCUAAUACCGGAUAACACCGAAGACCGCAUGGUCUUUGGUUGAAAGGCGGCGCAAGCUGCCACUUGCGGAUGGGCCCGCGGCGCAUUAGCUAGUUGGUGAGGUAACGGCUCACCAAGGCGACGAUGCGUAGCCGGCCUGAGAGGGUGACCGGCCACACUGGGACUGAGACACGGCCCAGACUCCCACGGGAGGCAGCAGUAGGGAAUCUUCCGCAAUGGGCGAAAGCCUGACGGAGCGACGCCGGGUGAGCGAAGAAGGCCUUCGGGUCGUAAAGCUCUGUUGGGAGGGACGAAGGAGCGCCGUUUGAAGAAGGCGGCGCGGUGACGGUACCUCACGAGGAAGCCCCGGCUAACUACGUG